This 65-nucleotide small nuclear RNA is filed under the name Cervus elaphus hippelaphus. The record is from RNAcentral. Lineage: Eukaryota; Metazoa; Chordata; Mammalia; Artiodactyla; Cervidae.
AUACCCUGGUUUCUUUUCGGGCUGAAUAAAUCUUUCACCUUUUACUAAAGCUUUCCAUGGAGAAG